AGAUUAAGCCAUGCAUGUCUAAGUAUGAAUGUUUUUGUACUGUGAAACUGCGAAUGGCUCAUUAAAUCAGUUAUAGUUUACUUGAUGGUAACCGUACUCGGAUAACUGUACCAAUUGUAGAGCUAAUACGUGCACCAAGUCCCGACUUCCGGAAGGGAUGUAUUUAUUAGAUACAAAGCCAAUGCGGGCUCCGGCCCGGUACAGUUGGCGAGUCAUGAUAACUGCUCGAAUCGCAUGGCCGUGCGCCGGCGAUGGUUCAUUCAAAUUUCUGCCCUAUCAACUUUCGAUGGUAGGGUAUUGGCCUACCAUGGUUACAACGGGUAACGGAGAAUUAGGGUUCGAUUCCGGAGAGGGAGCCUGAGAAACGGCUACCACAUCCAAGGAAGGCAGCAGGCGCGCAAAUUACCCAAUCCCGACUCGGGGAGGUAGUGACAAUAAAUAACAAUGCUGGGCUAUUUUGGUCUGGCAAUUGGAAUGAGAACAAUCUAAAUCCCUUAACGAGGAACAAUUGGAGGGCAAGUCUGGUGCCAGCAGCCGCGGUAAUUCCAGCUCCAAUAGCGUAUAUUAAAGUUGUUGCAGUUAAAAAGCUCGUAGUUGGGUUUCGGAGCGGUCAGGCUGGUCCGCCGAGAGGCGAGUACUGGCCGGCCGCUCUUCCUCUCGGAGUCCCUGUCUGCUCUUUGUUGCAGUGGGCAGGGAAUUCGGGACGUUUACUUUGAAAAAAUUAGAGUGUUCAAAGCAGGCGAUUGCUUGAAUACGUUAGCAUGGAAUAAUGGAAUAGGACCUCGGUCCUAUUU
Molecule: ribosomal RNA, 794 nt
Filed under: Thorectinae sp. CU145
Lineage: Eukaryota; Metazoa; Porifera; Demospongiae; Dictyoceratida; Thorectidae
Description: SSU rRNA
Rfam family: Eukaryotic small subunit ribosomal RNA
Source: RNAcentral